This 621-nucleotide long non-coding RNA is filed under the name Arabidopsis thaliana (thale cress). Its description in RNAcentral is "ncRNA (AT2G08435)". The record is from RNAcentral. Lineage: Eukaryota; Viridiplantae; Streptophyta; Magnoliopsida; Brassicales; Brassicaceae.
GGUCAACGGCUCCUUUGAAAGUCUACACAAUUUGGUAAGAACAUAUAAGAAGAGAAACAUAUUUUUGUGGAAGGUCACAGAGUAACUGCCGUAAAGAAGUAAAAAAAAUAGCAUGUGAUUCGGCAAAUGAGAAAAGCAAAAGUAACUCCCCUUUCUUGACAUUAACAUUUGUCAUGUUUGAUUAAACCAAGAACCUUAGAGAUCACGACUUUUGCUGUACCCCUUAAUUGAUUAGAAUAGUAUUAAUCUUUUGGAGGGUCCACGGCUAAUAUUAAAUUUCUUAUUCAUCAGUUGGUGAGAUCUACCAAACCUACUAAAAAACCCACUAAUAAUUUAAUCAAAGUUGAAGAAUUGAUUCCAGCAGCAGUAUUCAAAUACCUUGUGUAUCUCGAGAAUCCUAUUUUAAAAAGAUGUUAACAUAAAAGCAAUCCUGAAACUAUAUUCUAUAACACACUAGUUUUGCCUUCUGGUAUCACCUAAUGGACACAACAAACAAAGCAUAACCAAGAGACAACUAUGCUGAUGAUACUGAUAAUAAUGGUGAUAAUGAUGAAUGAUGACGGUAAAUGCAUAAAAAUAUUCAAGUGUGUUUGUUACCUUGGUGUAAUACCGACAGCCCUU